RNAcentral lists this signal recognition particle RNA (100 nucleotides) under Selenomonas sp. RNAcentral's name for it is "signal recognition particle sRNA small type". It matches the Rfam family "Bacterial small signal recognition particle RNA". From Rfam's summary of the family: The signal recognition particle (SRP) is a universally conserved ribonucleoprotein involved in the co-translational targeting of proteins to membranes. Archaeal SRP consists of a 7S RNA and homologues of the eukaryotic SRP19 and SRP54 proteins. The record is from RNAcentral. Lineage: Bacteria; Bacillati; Bacillota; Negativicutes; Selenomonadales; Selenomonadaceae.
GUCUGGGUCUUGCGCAAUGGAGUCCUGUGAACCUCGUCAGGUCCGGAAGGAAGCAGCGAUAAGCGGGGUGCUCCAUGUGCCGCGAGGUCGCCUGGGGGCU